Molecule: long non-coding RNA, 963 nt
Organism: Leopardus geoffroyi (Geoffroy's cat)
Lineage: Eukaryota; Metazoa; Chordata; Mammalia; Carnivora; Felidae
Exons: 2
Source: RefSeq, a predicted model, not a curated record
UCAGAAGGAACCAACCCUCCCAGCACCUUGAUUCCAGACUUCAAGCCUCCAGAAGCGGGAGAGAAUAAACUUACGAUUUGCAGAUGUUUCGUCGGUGUUGGCCUUAACUUCUCAACCAAAGUGAAAGCUUUUGGAGGGCAAGAACCUACCAUAUGACCUGAGUAUCCUUCACCGGUAACAUCACAACAAACCAACAAACACAGCAAACGUUGAGCACCUCUUCUAUGACAGAAUGCUUAGGAAACACCUGCUCAUUCAUCUUUCUAACCACUGGAUAAGCCUACUGAGAUGCAUCAAGUUCUUGCCCAUCUAUGUCCAAUCUGGGACAUAACAGAUCCUUCUCAUCCUGAGUUAAAGAAAAGGUUAAAUGAUGCCAGAGCCCAAGAAAGUAUCUGCCUAUCAGGCUUCAGCAGUGGUUUUCGAACUUUUAAGUAUAAAGAUCAUCUGGAACAUUUUCGAGAAGAGAAGAUUCCCCAGCUGUACUGACACAGUUUCUGAAUGACGGGGUCUGGGGGGAGACCUGAAAUGUGCAUUUUAAUGAGUAGUCUAGGUAAUUUUGAAGUAGACAGUUCAUCACCCUGAGAAAGAUUGGACUGUGGGACGUUUUCCAGAGAUAAUCUGCAGUGUGUGGGCAAAGGUGGAGAAGGGGCCACCACUCCCCAAAAGUCUACCCAGGUGGCCUAUGGCUGAGAAUUUCCUCAGUCUUUUCCUUGGUUAUAGUCCAAUUGUGGUUACCAAAUCUCUGAGACUUUCAGCCAAAAGACCAUUUGGCCUGGAAGGAUCAUUUUUAUCUACAGUGAUCUCCCUCCCAAAGGCCUCUCCAUCUGGCCUGUCCUCACUGGAGGGAGCAAAUCAACAGACCAGUGCUCUCAUAUAACCAGCUGCAGUGUGGGGCUUACAGGCUGCUUUAACUCCUGUUAUGAAUCAGAAUGCAAUUAUGAAUAAUUUGUAUGAGGCUUGUCA